Molecule: ribosomal RNA, 751 nt
Filed under: Bacillus subtilis
Lineage: Bacteria; Bacillati; Bacillota; Bacilli; Caryophanales; Bacillaceae
Description: bacterial SSU rRNA
Rfam family: Bacterial small subunit ribosomal RNA
Source: RNAcentral
GUAGGGCGAAAAAGGGGGGCGGUAAUUACAUGCAUCUCGAGCGGACAGAUGGGAGCUUGCUCCCUGAUGUUAGCGGCGGACGGGUGAGUAACACGUGGGUAACCUGCCUGUAAGACUGGGAUAACUCCGGGAAACCGGGGCUAAUACCGGAUGGUUGUUUGAACCGCAUGGUUCAAACAUAAAAGGUGGCUUCGGCUACCACUUACAGAUGGACCCGCGGCGCAUUAGCUAGUUGGUGAGGUAACGGCUCACCAAGGCAACGAUGCGUAGCCGACCUGAGAGGGUGAUCGGCCACACUGGGACUGAGACACGGCCCAGACUCCUACGGGAGGCAGCAGUAGGGAAUCUUCCGCAAUGGACGAAAGUCUGACGGAGCAACGCCGCGUGAGUGAUGAAGGUUUUCGGAUCGUAAAGCUCUGUUGUUAGGGAAGAACAAGUACCGUUCGAAUAGGGCGGUACCUUGACGGUACCUAACCAGAAAGCCACGGCUAACUACGUGCCAGCAGCCGCGGUAAUACGUAGGGUGGCAAGCGUUGUCCGGAAUUAUUGGGCGUAAAGGGCUCGCAGGCGGUUUCUUAAGUCUGAUGUGAAAGCCCCCGGCUCAACCGGGGGAGGGUCAUUGGAAACUGGGGAACUUGAGUGCAGAGAGGAGAGUGACUUCCACGUGUAGCCGUGAAUGCGUAGAGAUGUGGAGGAACACAGUGCCGAAGCGACUCUCUGGUCUGUAACUGACGCUGAGGAGCGAAGCGUG